AUGUUGACUUAUUUAGUGAAGCUUGUAGCUUCUUUUUCAAGUGUAGAGUGUAUCUCUUCAGCAACUGAGCUCUUUUUCCCGCAGGCCAUGAUUCUUUUUAACAAAACACAGGAGGGCUGCCGUUCCAACAAUAGAAAAGGAUUAUAUCAUACAAAAACUUGCCAAGAGCAAGCGCAAGAGAAAAAAACACUAAGCCAAUUACUCCAAGAGGAAAAAACAACUACUCAAAUAGUCAAACCCGUCCUCAACCAACAUACCAGCUGCCUAAUGGAAACAGCAGAACUGUGCAUUGAUCAUUGCCAAACUACAGUUAAAAGUUAUUAG
This 324-nucleotide ribosomal RNA is filed under the name Triticum aestivum (bread wheat). RNAcentral describes it as "partial small subunit ribosomal RNA". The record is from RNAcentral. Lineage: Eukaryota; Viridiplantae; Streptophyta; Magnoliopsida; Poales; Poaceae.